AGAGGUGCAAGCGUUAAUCGGAGUGACUGGGGCGUAAAGGGGCGUGUAGGUGGACAGAUAAGUUAUGUGUGAAAUAUCCGGGGCUUAACCUGGAGGGGGUCAUGUGAUACUGUCUGUCUAGAGUAGAGCAGAGGGAAGUAGAAUUUCCGGUGUAGCGGUGAAAUGCGUAGAGAUCGGAAGGAAUACCAGUGGCGAAGGCGGCUUCCUGGGCUCAUACUGACACUGAGGCACGAAAGCGUGGGUAGCGAACAGGAUUAGAUACCCUGGUAGUCCACGCCGUAAACGAUGAGAACUAGAUGCUUGUUUGUUCAUUCAAGUGAGUAUCGAAGCUAACGCAUUAAGUUCUCCGCCUGGGGAAUACGGUCGCAAAGAUUAA
This 376-nucleotide ribosomal RNA is filed under the name uncultured organism. RNAcentral's name for it is "partial 16S ribosomal RNA". It matches the Rfam family "Bacterial small subunit ribosomal RNA", at positions 528 to 897 of the family's 1533-position model. The record is from RNAcentral.